This 472-nucleotide ribosomal RNA is filed under the name Conchiformibius steedae. Its description in RNAcentral is "bacterial SSU rRNA". It matches the Rfam family "Bacterial small subunit ribosomal RNA", at positions 9 to 477 of the family's 1533-position model. The record is from RNAcentral. Lineage: Bacteria; Pseudomonadati; Pseudomonadota; Betaproteobacteria; Neisseriales; Neisseriaceae.
GAGUUUGAUUAUGGCUCAGAUUGAACGCUGGCGGCAUGCUUUACACAUGCAAGUCGAACGGCAGCGGGGAAGUGCUUGCACUUCUGCCGGCGAGUGGCGAACGGGUGAGUAAUGCAUUGGAACGUACCGGGUAAUGGGGGAUAACUUGCCGAAAGGUAAGCUAAUACCGCAUACGCUCUUAGGAGGAAAGCGGGGGAUCGUUUGACCUCGCGUUAUCCGAGCGGCCAAUGUCUGAUUAGCUAGUUGGUGGGGUAAAAGCCUACCAAGGCAACGAUCAGUAGCGGGUCUGAGAGGAUGAUCCGCCACACUGGGACUGAGACACGGCCCAGACUCCUACGGGAGGCAGCAGUGGGGAAUUUUGGACAAUGGGCGCAAGCCUGAUCCAGCCAUGCCGCGUGUCUGAAGAAGGCCUUCGGGUUGUAAAGGACUUUUGUACGGGAAGAAAAAGUUGUGGCUAAUACCCAUGACUGAU